Molecule: transfer RNA, 70 nt
Filed under: Melolontha hippocastani
Lineage: Eukaryota; Metazoa; Arthropoda; Insecta; Coleoptera; Scarabaeidae
Description: tRNA-Lys
Source: RNAcentral
CAUUAGAUACCUAAAUGCAAGUCUUGGUCUCUUAAACCAAUUAUAAUAGUGUAGCACCUAUUUCUAAUGA